CACACACACACACACACACACACACACACACACCCACCUCUGUGGGAAAGAGUCAACCAUGAGAGUUUUGUCGACAGCAAUUGUCCAUUUGGCAAAACAAAUAUCCGUCUCAAAGCCGUAUUUUACCGUUGCAGAAAACAGAAGGCGUUCACAAGAAGGCCCACACACACACACACACACACACACACACACACACACACCCACACCCCGCGAGGCAAGGAGGAGUUUUUUUCUUCAUUACUUUUUACAAUAAGUUUUCUCAAUAGAUAGAAAAUGAUGACGCUGAGGAGUCAGCAUCCGAUAUUAUCAUUGCUUGUAACCCUGUUUUUUACAUCUCCCCAUAAAACUAGUCUUAGCGAGGAAAAAAAAUCUAAUUAUUCGAAUAAGUUUAUUAAAGCACCCCCUCUGUGGGAACGAGUCAACCAUGAGCCGAGUUUUGUCAACAGCAAGAACAAGGUCAGACAGCAAUUGUCCAUUUGGUAAAACAAAUACCCGUCUCAAAGCCAUAUUUUACCGUUGCGGAAUGGGGGAAAACAGACGGCGUUCGCAAGAAGGCAAUCAAAAAAAAAACAAACCCCCUCUAACUACCGGUAUUGUCAAGAGAAAGAUGCGAAAAACAGAUGCUUCGCUAGACUAGGAUAAAAUGAGAGAAGAAGCGGAAGGGGAGUCGCUAUCUGUGACAGUUCUACCAAUCGCGAGGAAGAAUCCGAGAAUAUUAUGUCAGCAUCCCGUUCAAACAACGCCGCCGAUCAGAGGGCCAUCUCGCCGGAUCUGUUCAUACCUCACCCCGGUAAGUUUUUUUCUUUACGACUUUAAAUUAUAUAUCAACAGAGAUGUCAAUAAUUUGAUUACUUUCUUUUAGAUUUCUACAUCAAUGAUUUCACGCAAGUGGACUACGGUACGUUUAAAUAAGUAUAUACCAUUUUUUAAACAAGUUUAGAUAGACUUGAUUUAACCAUGCUCUGAUACUUACAGAAACAAUCGAUAAUGCAGUGAGUAACAGCAGAAAUCCGGCCGUUUUCCACGGCGAAUUAGAAGCCAUAUCCCCCGCAGAAUCUCCGCUGCCGCCGCAUCGAAGAGAAGACGGCACUAUUUCCGUCUCCGCAUACCGGGAGAACCGCGGAGAAAAAAGUUUUAAAAUCGAAGGUAAACAAUAUGAUGCAUUAUCAGCCAUUUUGUUGAAUAACAGGAUGUGACGGAGUAAUCCGAGUGUGCUAUACCGCCCCUCCCGACCCGGAGCAGAUUUUUAAAAAAGUUUUGCUUUAUUUCUCGACAGAGGUAACCGAGAAUAUACAGACCCCGCCGCAGCGAAAAGAAGAAGAAGACGACGACGACGUUAUUUUCGUCAACGCAUACCGGGAGAACUGCAGGAAAAUACCUUUUAAACCAAAAGGUAAACAAUAUGAUGCAAUAUCCGUCAUUUCGAUAAAUAUCAGGAUGUGGCGGAGUAAUCCGAGUGUGCUAUACCGCCCCUCCCGACUUGGAGUGGUAUAAAGCGAGCUAAAAAGUUUUUUUUUUUUUUUUUUUUUUUUAUUAAAUCUUUCUCUUUUCUGUUUUAUUUCUCGGCAGCCGAGAUUGCGGAUAUACCUAUUCAACCCCCCUCCGCUACAGACAAUUGCGCGGAGGAGCGAGGUAAAUAAAAAAGUUUUUUCAUUCUCGAAAAAUAGGAAAGAGGAGGUUGUUUUCUUAAAUCUCUUCUGUUUUAUUUCUCGGCAGCCGAGAUUGCGGAUUUACCUAACCAAUCCCCCGCCGCUACAGACAAUCGGGCGGAGGAGCGAGGUAAAUAAAAAAGUUUUUUCAUUCUCGAAAAAUAGGAAGGAUGAGAUUGUUUUCUUAAAUCUCUUCUGUUUUAUUUUCCCCGACAGAGACCGAUACAGAAAAUCAGACUGAAGAAAAUCAGGUUGAGGAGGAACCGUCCAGAUUGCCUCCUAUCAGGAGAGUGAGAGCUCCUCUCGGAAGACUGAGAGGUAAUUGACGGGGGGAUGAAUCGAACCUAUUAAACUUCUCUGCUCUAUAAAAAAUGUAAGGUUUAAAAAAUACAUUCUGUCCGUCUUUUCUUACAGCUCGACGGAUGCUUCAUAAGAAGAGAAUCCUUGAAAAACUCGCUUUCAUG
Molecule: long non-coding RNA, 2113 nt
Organism: Astatotilapia calliptera (eastern happy)
Lineage: Eukaryota; Metazoa; Chordata; Actinopteri; Cichliformes; Cichlidae
Source: Ensembl